Molecule: ribosomal RNA, 644 nt
Filed under: uncultured Bacilli bacterium
Lineage: Bacteria; Bacillati; Bacillota; Bacilli
Description: bacterial SSU rRNA
Rfam family: Bacterial small subunit ribosomal RNA
Source: RNAcentral
UGCGAACGGGUGAGUAACGCGUAGGUAACCUGCCUGGUAGCGGGGGAUAACUAUUGGAAACGAUAGCUAAUACCGCAUAAGAGCAGUUGUUGCAUGACAGCUGUUUAAAAGGUGCGAUUGCACCACUACCAGAUGGACCUGCGUUGUAUUAGCUAGUUGGUGAGGUAACGGCUCACCAAGGCGACGAUACAUAGCCGACCUGAGAGGGUGAUCGGCCACACUGGGACUGAGACACGGCCCAGACUCCUACGGGAGGCAGCAGUAGGGAAUCUUCGGCAAUGGGGGCAACCCUGACCGAGCAACGCCGCGUGAGUGAAGAAGGUUUUCGGAUCGUAAAGCUCUGUUGUAAGAGAAGAACGAGUGUGAGAGUGGAAAGUUCACGCUGUGACGGUAUCUUACCAGAAAGGGACGGCUAACUACGUGCCAGCAGCCGCGGUAAUACGUAGGUCCCGAGCGUUAUCCGGAUUUAUUGGGCGUAAAGCGAGCGCAGGCGGUUAGAUAAGUCUGAAGUUAAAGGCUGUGGCUUAACCAUAGUACGCUUUGGAAACUGUUUAACUUGAGUGCAAGAGGGGAGAGUGGAAUUCCAUGUGUAGCGGUGAAAUGCGUAGAUAUAUGGAGGAACACCGGUGGCGAAAGCGGCUCUC